RNAcentral lists this ribosomal RNA (468 nucleotides) under uncultured bacterium. RNAcentral describes it as "partial 16S ribosomal RNA". It matches the Rfam family "Bacterial small subunit ribosomal RNA", at positions 28 to 507 of the family's 1533-position model. The record is from RNAcentral.
GACGAACGCUGGCGGCGUGCUUAACACAUGCAAGUCGAACGGAAAGGCCCUGCUUUUGUGGGGUGCUCGAGUGGCGAACGGGUGAGUAACACGUGAGUAACCUGCCCUUGACUUUGGGAUAACUUCAGGAAACUGGGGCUAAUACCGGAUAGGAGCUCCUGCUGCAUGGUGGGGGUUGGAAAGUUUCGGCGGUUGGGGAUGGACUUGCGGCUUAUCAGCUUGUUGUUGGGGUAGUGGCUUACCAAGGCUUUGACGGGUAGCCGGCCUGAGAGGGUGACCGGACACAUUGGGACUGAGAUACGGCCCAGACUCCUACGGGAGGCAGCAGUGGGGAAUAUUGCACAAUGGGCGGAAGCCUGAUGCAGCAACGCCGCGUGCGGGAUGACGGCCUUCGGGUUGUAAACCGCUUUCGCCUGUGACGAAGCGUGAGUGACGGUAAUGGGUAAAGAAGCACCGGCUAACUACGUG